This 460-nucleotide ribosomal RNA is filed under the name uncultured bacterium. RNAcentral describes it as "partial 16S ribosomal RNA". It matches the Rfam family "Bacterial small subunit ribosomal RNA", at positions 338 to 795 of the family's 1533-position model. The record is from RNAcentral.
CCUACGGGAGGCUGCAGUGAGGAAUAUUGGUCAAUGGACGAGAGUCUGAACGAGCCAAGUAGCGUGAAGGAUGACUGCCCUAUGGGUUGUAAACUUCUUUUAUAUGGGAAUAAAAUGUUCCACGUGUGGGAUUUUGUAUGUACCAUAUGAAUAAGGAUCGGCUAACUCCGUGCCAGCAGCCGCGGUAAUACGGAGGAUCCGAGCGUUAUCCGGAUUUAUUGGGUUUAAAGGGAGCGUAGGCGGAUUGUUAAGUCAGUGGUGAAAGUUUGGGGCUCAACCGUAAAAUUGCAGUUGAAACUGGCAGUCUAGAGUACAGUAGAGGUGGGCGGAAUGCGUGGUGUAGCGGUGAAAUGCUUAGAUAUCACGAAGAACUCCGAUUGCGAAGGCAGCUCACUGGACUGCAACUGACACUGAGGCUCGAAAGUGUGGGUAUCAAACAGGAUUAGAUACCCGAGUAGUC